GGAGCGAGUACCCCCGAAGUUAUUACAAGUGCACACAUCCAACCUGUCCAGUCAAGAAGAAAGUGGAGCGAUCUCCAGAGGGUCAUAUUACUGAGAUUAUAUACAAGGGAGCCCACAAUCACCCAAAACCCCCACCUAACCGUAGAUCAGCCCUUGGAUCCACAAAUUCACUUGGUGACCUACAGGUGGACGGUGCAGAACAAGGUGCAAGUGGUGUUAAUGGUGAUCUCGGUCAGGCAAACUUCCACAAAGCACCUGGUGGUGGAGGAGGUUUUGAUUGGAGGAACAACAAUCGUGAUGCAAACUUGGGCUCCGAGCACUGCAACAGAUCUGCCCCUUUCUCUGCUCAGAAUAACACUCGUUUGGAAUCAGGUGAUGCAGUAGAUGUGUCGUCGAAUUUUUCAAAUGAUGAAGAUGAAGAUGAUCGUGGAACUCAUGGCAGCGUAUCACAAGGUUAUGAGGGUGAAGGAGAUGAGUCCGAGUCUAAAAGAAGGAAGCUUGAGACCUACUCUGCAGAUAUGACUGGUGCUACUAGAGCCAUCAGGGAGCCAAGAGUUGUGGUUCAAACUACAAGCGAAGUGGACAUCCUUGAUGAUGGAUAUCGCUGGCGCAAGUAUGGGCAAAAGGUUGUCAAAGGGAAUCCAAAUCCAAGGAGUUACUACAAGUGCACAAGUGCUGGCUGCAAUGUCAGGAAGCAUGUUGAGAGGGCCUCGCAUGACCUGAAGUCAGUGAUUACCACCUACGAAGGGAAGCACAACCACGACGUUCCUGCAGCUCGCAACAGUAGUCAUGUUAAUUCAGGUGCCUCCAACACUCAUCCAGCUUCAGUUACUGCCCCUGCUCAAAACCAUUUACAUAGGCCGGAGGCUGCUCAACUUCAGAAUGCUAUGGCGCGAUUUGACAGGCAACCUUCAUUGGGCUCAUUUGGUCUGUCAGGGAGGCCCCCCCAGCUUGGACCUAACCCAGGAUUUAGCUAUGGAAUGAACCAGCAAGGCGGCCUAUCCAGUCUAGCAAUGGCCGGAUUUCAUCCUAAUCAAAACAAGCCAGGGGAGGUUCCUAUGCAUCCAUAUCUAGGACAGCCGCGACCCAUGCAUGAUAUGGGAUUUAUGUUCCCAAAGGAAGAACCAAAGGUGGAACCUCUGUCAGAUCCUGGCCCAACAGCUUAUCAGCAAUUUUUGAACAGUUUGUCGCUUGGACCUCAGAUGUAAAUUUACAGUUUUUGUCUUCUCUAAAGAACAGAAAGUUAGAGAUGCUGAUUUUGGUACUUAAUGGGCAUACCUCCCUACACAGAGUCCUAUAAUACAACUUUUUGAAGCUAUAUUGUCUUUGUUUUAACUUCUAAAUACCAUAUAGGCCGCCACUCAUUUGACGUUUGUGCUUCAGCUUCUUGCUAUACUGACAAACAGUUUCAGGUUGUAACAUGGAAAAGUUCCAUGUCCUAUCGUAUUUUGGAGGCUAAGGUUUAUGUCCUCCUCCGUGUAUUUGUUCUUUUGCCUAAAAC
RNAcentral lists this unclassified non-coding RNA (1501 nucleotides) under Hevea brasiliensis (rubber tree). Lineage: Eukaryota; Viridiplantae; Streptophyta; Magnoliopsida; Malpighiales; Euphorbiaceae. The record is from RNAcentral.